Molecule: ribosomal RNA, 492 nt
Filed under: uncultured bacterium
Lineage: Bacteria
Description: partial 16S ribosomal RNA
Rfam family: Bacterial small subunit ribosomal RNA
Source: RNAcentral
AGUGAACGCUGGCGGUAGGCCUAACACAUGCAAGUCGAACGGCAGCACAGUAAGAGCUUGCUCUUACGGGUGGCGAGUGGCGGACGGGUGAGGAAUACAUCGGAAUCUACUUUUUCGUGGGGGAUAACGUAGGGAAACUUACGCUAAUACCGCAUACGACCUACGGGUGAAAGCAGGGGAUCUUCGGACCUUGCGCGAUUGAAUGAGCCGAUGUCGGAUUAGCUAGUUGGCGGGGUAAAGGCCCACCAAGGCGACGAUCCGUAGCUGGUCUGAGAGGAUGAUCAGCCACACUGGAACUGAGACACGGUCCAGACUCCUACGGGAGGCAGCAGUGGGGAAUAUUGGACAAUGGGCGCAAGCCUGAUCCAGCAAUGCCGCGUGGGUGAAGAAGGCCUUCGGGUUGUAAAGCCCUUUUGUUGGGAAAGAAAAGCAGCAGGUGAAUACCCCGCUGUUCUGACGGUACCCAAAGAAUAAGCACCGGCUAACUUCGUG